This 252-nucleotide ribosomal RNA is filed under the name uncultured bacterium. Its description in RNAcentral is "partial 16S ribosomal RNA". It matches the Rfam family "Bacterial small subunit ribosomal RNA", at positions 524 to 775 of the family's 1533-position model. The record is from RNAcentral.
UACAUGUGGGGCAAGCGUUGUUCGGAAUUACUGGGCAUAAAGGGUGCGUAGGCGGCGCGUCAAGUCACUGGUGAAAGUUUGCGGCCCAACCGUAAAAUUGCCGGCGAUACUGGCGUGCUCGAGUGCGUGAGGGGUUGGGGGAACGAGUGGUGUAGCGGUGAAAUGCGUAGAGAUCACUCGGAAGGCCAGAGCCGAAGGGGCCCAACUGGUACGCAACUGACGCUGAGGCACGAAAGCGUGGGGAGCAACAGG